UACGUAGGAUGCAAGCGUUGUCCGGAAUUAUUGGGCGUAAAGCGCGCGCAGGCGGUUCUUUAAGUCUGAUGUGAAAGCCCACGGCUCAACCGUGGAGGGUCAUUGGAAACUGGAGAACUUGAGUACAGAAGAGGAAAGCGGAAUUCCACGUGUAGCGGUGAAAUGCGUAGAGAUGUGGAGGAACACCAGUGGCGAAGGCGGCUUUCUGGUCUGUAACUGACGCUGAGGCGCGAAAGCGUGGGGAGCGAACAGG
This 253-nucleotide ribosomal RNA is filed under the name uncultured bacterium. Its description in RNAcentral is "partial 16S ribosomal RNA". It matches the Rfam family "Bacterial small subunit ribosomal RNA", at positions 524 to 776 of the family's 1533-position model. The record is from RNAcentral.